AGCUCCAUUGGCGUAUAUUAAAGUUGUUGCGGUUAAAAAGCUUCCGUAGUUGGAUCUGUGUAUCGGACGGUCGGUUCGCCGCUCGCGGUGUUUGACUGACCGGUUCGGACGUCAUGCCGGUGGGACCUCGGCGCAAGUCGGGGUUCCGUAACUUACCCUCCGCGCUGCUCUUCAUUGAGUGGUUCGGUGGGCCGGCACGUUUACUUUGAACAAAUUUGAGUGCUCAAAGCAGGCCUUAUGUUGCCUGGAAACUGUGUGCAUGGAAUAAUGAAAGAGGACCUUGGUUCUAUUUUGUUGGCUUUCUGAACUCGAGGUAAUGAUUAACAGGGACAGACGGGGGCAUUCGUAUUGCGACGUUAGAGGUGAAAUUCUUGGAUCGUCGCAAGACGGACCGAUGCGAAAGCGUUUGCCAAGAAUGUUUUCGCUAAUCAAGAACGAAAGUUAGAGGUUCGAAGGCGAUUAGAUACCGCCCUAGUUCUAACCAUAAACGAUGUCAGCCAGCGAUGCGCCGAUGUUCCUCCGAUGACACGGCGCGCAACUUCCGGGAAACCAAAGCUUUUGGGUUCCGGGGGAAGUA
RNAcentral lists this ribosomal RNA (577 nucleotides) under Rhithrogena sp. Ep6557a. RNAcentral describes it as "SSU rRNA". It matches the Rfam family "Eukaryotic small subunit ribosomal RNA", at positions 587 to 1125 of the family's 1831-position model. Lineage: Eukaryota; Metazoa; Arthropoda; Insecta; Ephemeroptera; Heptageniidae. The record is from RNAcentral.